This 652-nucleotide ribosomal RNA is filed under the name Vansoestia caribensis. Its description in RNAcentral is "SSU rRNA". Lineage: Eukaryota; Metazoa; Porifera; Demospongiae; Verongiida; Ianthellidae. The record is from RNAcentral.
UCAAGAUUAAGCCAUGCAUGUCUAAGUAUGAAUGCUCCUCAUUGUGAAACUGCGAAUGGCUCAUUAAAUCAGUUAUAGUUUAUUUGAUGGUACCUCCUACUUGGAUAACUGUGGUAAUUCUAGAGCUAAUACAUGCAGCUAGUCCCGACUCCUGGAAGGGACGUAUUUAUUAGAUACAAAGCCAAUGCAGCUUCGGCUGGUCCCUUGGUGAUUCAUGAUAACUGCUCGAAUCGCAUGGCCUUGCGCCGGCGAUGGUUCAUUCAAGUUUCUGCCCUAUCAACUUUCGAUGGUAGGGUAUUGGCCUACCAUGGUUGCAACGGGUGACGGAGAAUUAGGGUUCGAUUCCGGAGAGGGAGCCUGAGAAACGGCUACCACAUCCAAGGAAGGCAGCAGGCGCGCAAAUUACCCAAUCCCGACUCGGGGAGGUAGUGACAAAAACUACUGAUGCUGGGCUGAACAAAGUCCGGCAAUCGGAAUGAGAACAACCUAAAUCCCUUAUCGAUGAACAAUUGGAGGGCAAGUCUGGUGCCAGCAGCCGCGGUAAUUCCAGCUCCAAUAGCGUAUAUUAAAGUUGUUGCAGUUAAAAAGCUCGUAGUUGGAUCUCGGGGAGGAGCCGUCGGUCCGUCGCGAGACUGGCACUGACGGGGGYCUC